GACGAACGCUGGCGGCGUGCCUAACACAUGCAAGUCGAACGGAAGUAAGUGCUUCGGUAUUUACUUUAGUGGCGAACGGGUGAGUAACGCGUGAGGAACCUGCCUUUCAGUGGGGGACAACAGUUGGAAACGACUGCUAAUACCGCAUGACGCUUCUUAGGGGCAUCCCUGAGAAGUCAAAGCUUUAUGUGCUGAAAGAUGGCCUCGCGUCUGAUUAGCUAGUUGGCAGGGUGAUAGCCUACCAAGGCGACGAUCGGUAGCCGACCUGAGAGGGUGAUCGGCCACAUUGGAACUGAGAUACGGUCCAA
Molecule: ribosomal RNA, 308 nt
Filed under: uncultured bacterium
Lineage: Bacteria
Description: bacterial SSU rRNA
Rfam family: Bacterial small subunit ribosomal RNA
Source: RNAcentral